This 254-nucleotide ribosomal RNA is filed under the name uncultured bacterium. Its description in RNAcentral is "partial 16S ribosomal RNA". It matches the Rfam family "Bacterial small subunit ribosomal RNA", at positions 524 to 777 of the family's 1533-position model. The record is from RNAcentral.
GACGGGGGGGGGCAAGUGUUCUUCGGAAUCACUGGGCUUAAAGGGCGCGUAGGCGGGCAGUCAAGUCUGUGGUGAAAUCCUCCGGCUCAACCGGAGAAUAGCUGGAGAUACUGACUGUCUCGAGGGGGGUAGGGGCAUGUGGAACUUCCGGUGGAGCGGUGAAAUGCGUAGAUAUCGGAAGGACGCCGGUGGCGAAAGCGACGUGCUGGACCCUUUCUGACGCUGAGGCGCGAAAGCCAGGGGAGCAAACGGGG